RNAcentral lists this unclassified non-coding RNA (335 nucleotides) under soil metagenome. RNAcentral's name for it is "partial contains 5.8S ribosomal RNA, internal transcribed spacer 2, and large subunit ribosomal RNA". The stretch from base 1 to 120 matches the Rfam family "5.8S ribosomal RNA", at positions 35 to 154 of the family's 154-position model. The record is from RNAcentral.
GAUGAAGAACGUAGCGAAAUGCGAUAAGUAAUGUGAAUUGCAGAAUUCAGUGAAUCAUCGAAUCUUUGAACGCACAUUGCGCCCGCCAGUAUUCUGGCGGGCAUGCCUGUUCGAGCGUCAUUUCAACCAUCAAGCCCCCGGCUUGUGUUGGGGACCUGCGGCUGCCGCAGGCCCUGAAAACCAGUGGCGGGCUCGCUAGUCACUCCGAGCGUAGUAAUACAUCUCGCUCAGGGCGUGCUGCGGGUUCCGGCCGUUAAAAAGCCUUAUUUACCCAAGGUUGACCUCGGAUCAGGUAGGGAUACCCGCUGAACUUAAGCAUAUCAAUAAGCGGAGGA